RNAcentral lists this small RNA (16 nucleotides) under Arabidopsis thaliana (thale cress). RNAcentral's name for it is "ATSL301130". The record is from RNAcentral. Lineage: Eukaryota; Viridiplantae; Streptophyta; Magnoliopsida; Brassicales; Brassicaceae.
UAUGUUGUAGAUUCUU